AAUUUUUUAGUCAAUUAUGAUUUUAAAUUGCAAAUUUAGAGGUAUUAGAAUUAAUAAAAAUUU
RNAcentral lists this transfer RNA (63 nucleotides) under Mycopsylla fici. Its description in RNAcentral is "tRNA-Cys". Lineage: Eukaryota; Metazoa; Arthropoda; Insecta; Hemiptera; Carsidaridae. The record is from RNAcentral.